RNAcentral lists this ribosomal RNA (736 nucleotides) under Salmonella enterica subsp. enterica serovar Bovismorbificans. RNAcentral's name for it is "partial 23S ribosomal RNA". It matches the Rfam family "Bacterial large subunit ribosomal RNA", at positions 1 to 678 of the family's 2925-position model. Lineage: Bacteria; Pseudomonadati; Pseudomonadota; Gammaproteobacteria; Enterobacterales; Enterobacteriaceae. The record is from RNAcentral.
GGUUAAGCGACUAAGCGUACACGGUGGAUGCCCUGGCAGUCAGAGGCGAUGAAGGGCGUGCUAAUCUGCGAUAAGCGCCGGUAAGGUGAUAUGAACCGUUAUAACCGGCGAUACCCGAAUGGGGAAACCCAGUGUGACUCGUCACACUAUCAUUAACUGAAUCCAUAGGUUAAUGAGGCGAACCGGGGGAACUGAAACAUCUAAGUACCCCGAGGAAAAGAAAUCAACCGAGAUUCCCCCAGUAGCGGCGAGCGAACGGGGAGGAGCCCAGAGCCUGAAUCAGCAUGUGUGUUAGUGGAAGCGUCUGGAAAGGCGCGCGAUACAGGGUGACAGCCCCGUACACAAAAGCGCAUGUGCUGUGAGCUCGAUGAGUAGGGCGGGACACGUGGUAUCCUGUCUGAAUAUGGGGGGACCAUCCUCCAAGGCUAAAUACUCCUGACUGACCGAUAGUGAACCAGUACCGUGAGGGAAAGGCGAAAAGAACCCCGGCGAGGGGAGUGAAAAAGAACCUGAAACCGUGUACGUACAAGCAGUGGGAGCCCCACCACUAAGCCAGUGGUGAACUCCACAUACGCAUCCUUUGCUGAGGAUACGGUUAACGGAGCGAAAGCGACGUUCAACCUCAAAAGAAGCAGAGGGGGCUUAGUGGUGGGGUGACUGCGUACCUUUUGUAUAAUGGGUCAGCGACUUAUAUUCUGUAGCAAGGUUAACCGUAUAGGGGAGCCGUAGGGAAACC